GCGCCAUUAGCUCAAUGGUAGAGCAAAUGACUCUUAAUCAUUAGGCUGUAGGUUCGAGUCCUACAUGGCGCACCA
Molecule: transfer RNA, 75 nt
Filed under: Deltaproteobacteria bacterium
Lineage: Bacteria; Pseudomonadati; Myxococcota; Myxococcia
Description: tRNA-Lys
Rfam family: tRNA
About the family: Transfer RNA (tRNA) molecules are approximately 80 nucleotides in length. Their secondary structure includes four short double-helical elements and three loops (D, anti-codon, and T loops).
Source: RNAcentral